This 77-nucleotide transfer RNA is filed under the name Clostridium taeniosporum. Its description in RNAcentral is "tRNA-Arg". Lineage: Bacteria; Bacillati; Bacillota; Clostridia; Eubacteriales; Clostridiaceae. The record is from RNAcentral.
GCGUUUUUACCUCAGUUGGAUAGAGUAACGCCUCUCUAAGGUAUGGAUUAGGGGGUUGAAUCUCUUAAAACGCAUCA